UCUACGGGAGGCAGCAGUGAGGAAUAUUGGUCAAUGGGCGAGAGCCUGAACCAGCCAAGUAGCGUGAAGGAUGACUGCCUAUGGGUUGUAAACUUCUUUUAUAAAGGAAUAAGUCGGGUAUGGAUACCCGUUUGCAUGUACUUUAUGAAUAAGGAUCGGCUAACUCCGUGCCAGCAGCCGCGGUAAUACGGAGGAUUCGAGCGUUAUCCGGAUUUAUUGGGUUUAAAGGGAGCGUAGAUGGAUGUUUAAGUCAGUUGUGAAAGUUUGCGGCUCAACCGUAAAAUUGCAGUUGAUACUGGAUAUCUUGAGUG
RNAcentral lists this ribosomal RNA (311 nucleotides) under uncultured bacterium. RNAcentral's name for it is "bacterial SSU rRNA". It matches the Rfam family "Bacterial small subunit ribosomal RNA", at positions 338 to 648 of the family's 1533-position model. The record is from RNAcentral.